UGGGAAACCAGGGUGCUUCGCCAAUUCAAGGAUCACAUCCUUCGAGCCCUGUGUCUACCCACCCUGAGAUUCCAACUCAGGAUCCAACAAAGGACUCACCACUUUCAAGUGGUCGGCAACUUGUUUCUUAUGACUCAGAUUCAUCUGACGAGGAAACCGAGGACGAAGGCUUACGAACCUUCAUUGCACCUUCUGUGACCUCUCU
This 205-nucleotide long non-coding RNA is filed under the name Daucus carota (carrot). RNAcentral describes it as "long non-coding RNA (DCAR_LNC001745)". Lineage: Eukaryota; Viridiplantae; Streptophyta; Magnoliopsida; Apiales; Apiaceae. The record is from RNAcentral.